CCUACGGGGGGCUGCAGUCGAGAAUCAUUCACAAUGGGGGAAACCCUGAUGGUGCGACGCCGCGUGGGGGAAUGAAGGUCUUCGGAUUGUACACCCCUGUCAUGUGGGAGCAAAUUAAAAAGAUAGUACCACAAGAGGAAGAGACGGCUAACUCUGUGCCAGCAGCCGCGGUAAUACAGAGGUCUCAAGCGUUGUUCGGAAUCACUGGGCGUAAAGCGUGCGGAGGCUGUUUCGUAGUUCGUGUGUGAAAGGCGCGGGCUCAACCCGCGGACGGCACAUGAUACUGCGAGACUAGAGUAAUGGAGGGGGAACCGGAAUUCUCGGUGUAGCAGUGAAAUGCGUAGAUAUCGAGAGGAACACUCGUGGCGAAGGCGGGUUCCUGGACAUUAACUGACGCUGAGGCACGAAGGCCAGGGGAGCGAAAGGGAUUAGAUACCCUUGUAGUC
RNAcentral lists this ribosomal RNA (446 nucleotides) under uncultured bacterium. RNAcentral's name for it is "partial 16S ribosomal RNA". It matches the Rfam family "Bacterial small subunit ribosomal RNA", at positions 338 to 795 of the family's 1533-position model. The record is from RNAcentral.